Molecule: transfer RNA, 67 nt
Filed under: Loxocera planivena
Lineage: Eukaryota; Metazoa; Arthropoda; Insecta; Diptera; Psilidae
Description: tRNA-Asn
Source: RNAcentral
UUAAUUGAAGCCAAAAAGAGGCCUAUCAUUGUUAAUGAUAUAAUUGAAAAAUUUUAUUCCAAUUAAA